Molecule: non-coding RNA, 318 nt
Organism: Paramuricea clavata
Lineage: Eukaryota; Metazoa; Cnidaria; Anthozoa; Malacalcyonacea; Plexauridae
Source: the annotation of a GenBank genome assembly
UCCCCUUAUACCUAAAUUUUCAAAAAAUAACCUAAAUUUUUCCCUAAUUAUCAAUUUUUUUCUCCAAAAACUCAAAUUUUCUGGGGGGGCUAAGCCCCCCCACUUUUUCUUCUGGGGGGGCUUUAGCCCCCCUAGCCCCCCCUGUUCCGCCGCCCCUGGUACACACGUAAAAUCGCGCAAGUUGUUACAGAUCUGUAAACAAAUUGUAACAAGGUUGUUGUGAAGCCGAUAUCAGGAUGUGUUCGCACUGCUUGUUCCCAGUUGUUGUGACAAGUCUGGAACAAGUCGUUAUCACCUUGUUACAAGGUUUAUGACGGC